GAUGAAGAACGUAGCGAAAUGCGAUAAGUAAUGUGAAUUGCAGAAUUCAGUGAAUCAUCGAAUCUUUGAACGCACCUUGCGCUCCUUGGUAUUCCGAGGAGCAUGCCUGUUUGAGUGUCAUUAAAUUCUCAACCUUAUUGGCUUUUGCUGAUAAUGGCUUGGACUUGGGGGUCUUUUUGCUGGCUUUCAUUAGUCUGCUCCCCUUAAAUGUAUUAGCCGGUGCCCCGCAGUGGAACCGUCUAUUGGUGUGAUAAUUAUCUACGCCGUGGACGUCUGCUAUAAUGGGUUUGCGCUGCUUCUAACCGUCUCUCGGGACAACACAAAUGACAAUUUGACCUCAAAUCAGGUAGGACUACCCGCUGAACUUAAGCAUAUCAAUAAGCGGAGGA
This 389-nucleotide unclassified non-coding RNA is filed under the name soil metagenome. Its description in RNAcentral is "partial contains 5.8S ribosomal RNA, internal transcribed spacer 2, and large subunit ribosomal RNA". The stretch from base 1 to 120 matches the Rfam family "5.8S ribosomal RNA", at positions 35 to 154 of the family's 154-position model. The record is from RNAcentral.